ACUAGGAUGGCCUAGUGGUUUGAGCACUGGACUAGGACUCAGGAGACCAGGGUUCAACCCCCAGCUUGGAA
Phrynosoma platyrhinos (Desert horned lizard) is the source of this 71-nucleotide non-coding RNA. NCBI's taxonomy places the organism in Eukaryota, Metazoa, Chordata, Lepidosauria, Squamata, Phrynosomatidae. The record is from the annotation of a GenBank genome assembly.